This 492-nucleotide ribosomal RNA is filed under the name uncultured bacterium. Its description in RNAcentral is "partial 16S ribosomal RNA". It matches the Rfam family "Bacterial small subunit ribosomal RNA", at positions 28 to 507 of the family's 1533-position model. The record is from RNAcentral.
GAUGAACGCUAGCUACAGGCUUAACACAUGCAAGUCGAGGGGAAACGACAUCGAAAGCUUGCUUUUGAUGGGCGUCGACCGGCGCACGGGUGAGUAACGCGUAUCCAACCUGCCCACCACUUGGGGAUAACCUUGCGAAAGUAAGACUAAUACCCAAUGAUAUCUCUAGAAGACAUCUGAAAGAGAUUAAAGAUUUAUCGGUGAUGGAUGGGGAUGCGUCUGAUUAGCUUGUUGGCGGGGUAACGGCCCACCAAGGCAACGAUCAGUAGGGGUUCUGAGAGGAAGGUCCCCCACAUUGGAACUGAGACCCGGUCCAAACUCCUACGGGAGGCAGCAGUGAGGAAUAUUGGUCAAUGGACGAGAGUCUGAACCAGCCAAGUAGCGUGCAGGAAGACGGCCCUAUGGGUUGUAAACUGCUUUUAUAAGGGAAUAAAGUGAGUCUCGGGAGACUUUUUGCAUGUACCUUAUGAAUAAGGACCGGCUAAUUCCGUG